This is a long non-coding RNA of Acanthochromis polyacanthus (spiny chromis), 659 nucleotides long. RefSeq lists it as uncharacterized. Lineage: Eukaryota; Metazoa; Chordata; Actinopteri; Pomacentridae. The transcript has 5 exons. The record is from RefSeq and is a predicted model, not a curated record.
CAAUGUCUGUCCGCCUGCUUCUUUACCACCUGUUCACUCACUGAGCAGCUAGAGCUGAUCCUGGUUCAGGUAGAGCUGAUCCUGGUUCAGGUAGAGCUGAUCCUGGUUCAGGUAAAGAGCUGAUCCUGGUUCAGGUAAAGAGCUGAUCCUGGUUCAGGUAAAGAGCUGAUCCUGGUUCAGGUAAAGAGCUGAUCCUGGUUCAGGUAAAGAGCUGAUCCUGGUUCAGGUAAGGAGCUGAUCCUGGUUCAGGUAAGGAACUGAUCCUGGUUCAGGUAAAGAGCUGAUCCUGGUUCAGGUAGGAGCUAGAGCUGAUCCUGGUUCAGGUAGAGCUGAUCCUGGUUCAGGUAAAGAGCUGAUCCUGGUUCAGGUAAAGAGCUGAUCCUGGUUCAGGUAAAGAGCUGAUCCUGGUUCAGGUAGGAGCUAGAGCUGAUCCUGGUUCAGGUAGGAGCUAGAGCUGAUCCUGGUUCAGGUAAAGAGCUGAUCCUGGCUCAGGUAAAGAGCUGAUCCUGGCUCAGGUAAAGAGCUGAUCCUGGCUCAGGUAAAGAGCUGAUCCUGGUUCAGGUAAGGAGCUGAUCCUGGUUCAGGUGUGUUCAGGUAUGUGGAGUGAAGCUCCGCCUCCAGACAGUGUCUUUAAAAAGCUCUGGUUCGUCCAGUUUGAC